GAAGUCUUAGCUUAAUUAAAGUGUCUGAGUUGCAAUUAGGUGAUGUAAAUUAAAAUUUUACAGGCUUU
Molecule: transfer RNA, 68 nt
Filed under: Lygodactylus conradti (Matschie's dwarf gecko)
Lineage: Eukaryota; Metazoa; Chordata; Lepidosauria; Squamata; Gekkonidae
Description: tRNA-Ala
Rfam family: tRNA
About the family: Transfer RNA (tRNA) molecules are approximately 80 nucleotides in length.
Source: RNAcentral